RNAcentral lists this ribosomal RNA (652 nucleotides) under uncultured archaeon. Its description in RNAcentral is "bacterial SSU rRNA". It matches the Rfam family "Archaeal small subunit ribosomal RNA", at positions 99 to 754 of the family's 1478-position model. The record is from RNAcentral.
CGUAGUCAACAUGCCCAGGGGACGUGGAUAACCUCGGGAAACUGAGGAUAAACCACGAUAAGUCACUACUUCUGGAAUGGGUAAUGACUCAAAUCUACAUGGCCCCUGGAUUGGACUGCGGCCGAUCAGGCUGUUGGUGAGGUAACGGCCCACCAAACCUGUAACCGGUACGGGCUCUGAGAGGAGGAGCCCGGAGAUGGGCACUGAGACAAGGGCCCAGGCCCUAUGGGGCGCAGCAGGCGCGAAACCUCUGCAAUAGGCGAAAGCCUGACAGGGUUACUCUGAGUGAUUUCCGUUAAGGAGAUCUUUUGGCACCUCUAAAAAUGGUGCAGAAUAAGGGGUGGGCAAGUCUGGUGUCAGCCGCCGCGGUAAUACCAGCACCCCGAGUGGUCGGGACGUUUAUUGGGCCUAAAGCAUCCGUAGCCGGUUCUACAAGUCUUCCGUUAAAUCCACCUGCUUAACAGAUGGGCUGCGGAAGAUACUAUGGAGCUAGGAGGCGGGAGAGGCAAGCGGUACUCGAUGGGUAGGGGUAAAAUCCGUUGAUCCAUUGAAGACCACCAGUGGCGAAGGCGGCUUGCCAGAACGCGCUCGACGGUGAGGGAUGAAAGCUGGGGGAGCAAACCGGAUUAGAUACCCGGGUAGUCCCAGCUGU